This 273-nucleotide ribosomal RNA is filed under the name Triticum aestivum (bread wheat). Its description in RNAcentral is "partial small subunit ribosomal RNA". Lineage: Eukaryota; Viridiplantae; Streptophyta; Magnoliopsida; Poales; Poaceae. The record is from RNAcentral.
AUGGCCGGCGCCAACACUGCCACGCCGUCCGCGGCGUCGCCUGAGUGCGCGUCCAUGACCCUGUGCGGGCCGAUCAAGAAGCACAUCAUCGAGCACUUCCACCACAAGAAGCCCGUGCUGCCCAAGCCGGAGCCCAAGCCCCAGCCCCACCCGGACUACGGCCCCGUGCCCAAACCCGAGCCCAAGCCGCAGCCCCAGCCGGACUACCACCCCGUCCCUCCCACGCCCACCUAUGGCGGCGGCGGCGGUGGUGGAUACCACGGCCACCACUGA